RNAcentral lists this ribosomal RNA (549 nucleotides) under uncultured Acidobacteriaceae bacterium. RNAcentral describes it as "bacterial SSU rRNA". It matches the Rfam family "Bacterial small subunit ribosomal RNA", at positions 117 to 668 of the family's 1533-position model. Lineage: Bacteria; Pseudomonadati; Acidobacteriota; Terriglobia; Terriglobales; Acidobacteriaceae. The record is from RNAcentral.
GUGGGCAAUCUGCCCUCCGAUGGGGAAUACCCCCGCGAAAGCGGGACUAAUUCCGCAUAACAUUCCUUGGAUUAACUUUCGAGGAUUCAAAGCAGCAAUGCGUCGGAGGAGGAGCCCGCGCCCGAUUAGCUAGUUGGUGAGGUAACGGCUCACCAAGGCAAUGAUCGGUAGCUGGUCUGAGAGGAUGGCCAGCCACACUGGAACUGAGACACGGUCCAGACUCCUACGGGAGGCAGCAGUGGGGAAUCUUGCACAAUGGGCGAAAGCCUGAUGCAGCGACGCCGCGUGGGGGAUGAAGCUUUUCGGAGUGUAAACCCCUUUCGACUGGGACGAAUGCCUCGCAAGAGGAGUGACGGUACCAGUAUAAGAAGCCCCGGCUAACUACGUGCCAGCAGCCGCGGUAAGACGUAGGGGGCCAGCGUUGUUCGGAAUUACUGGGUGUAAAGGGUUCGUAGGCGGUGUGGCAAGUCGGGAGUGAAAUCUCUGGGCUCAACCCAGAGACUGCUUCCGAAACUGCUGUGCUUGAGUGUGAGAGAGGCUCGUGGAAUU